Molecule: long non-coding RNA, 1507 nt
Filed under: Heterocephalus glaber (naked mole-rat)
Lineage: Eukaryota; Metazoa; Chordata; Mammalia; Rodentia; Bathyergidae
Description: lncRNA (ENSHGLG00100042348.1)
Source: RNAcentral
CUCAGGCCCCACCGUCUUCGCGCUCCCCGCUGGAGAUAGGGUCUGACGCACGCCGCCCUGCGAAGCAACAGUAACCAAGGAUAUGAGGAGCCGGGGCGAACAGAUGGCAGCUCCCGGCGGCACUGCUCCUCCGGCCAGCUGCGCAACUCCUCCAGGGUGCUCUAGCCUUCCUCGGACAUGCGGCCACCUGAGACGCCAACUUCAAACCACUCUCACCUCAGCCAGGACCGGAAGUCCAGCCAUCCCGGCAAGCCUUGCGAGACCUCAUCUGGACUGAAUCCUAGAGAGGACGCGGCCUAGGCUCCAUGGCGGCCAAGAGGGAAACCGGGCCUAUCUGGUUCCCGGGAGGAAUCCACUCAGUGAUGCGCACUUCCUGAAGCAGAGGACUUCAGAACUCUCCAGACCACUUGCCUCCCAAGCCUGGGUUGCUGCAGACUUUCCAUUAUCUGGCGCUUGGGGAAGGGUCAAAUAAAAGAGAAUCAAAGACCUCUAAAAAAAGUCUUUGGAAACAUCUCUAAGUGUUCAUAGUGGUGUAUAAGCAGCCAAAGAGAAAUUCACCUCAGUGGAACUAAUUGAAUAAUUGAGUGUAUAUGAGUACCAGUUGCUCCAUAUCCUUGCCAGAACUUGAAACGAGGUGUCCUCCUACUGAAAUGGUGUGACAUUUUUUCAUGGAAAAAUAAUCUUCUAUUUAAUGAUGCCAUCAUCACCACCAUCAUCACCAUCACCAUCAUCUCCAUCAUCAUCACCAUCACCAUCAUCACCCACAUCAUCAUCACCAUCAUCUUCAUCAUUACCAUCAUCAUCACCAUCACCAUCAUCAUAUUCAUCAUCAUCGACAUCAUCACCAUCAUCACCAUCACCACCAUCAUCUUCAUCAUCACCAUCAUCAUCACCAUCACCAUCAUCAUCACCAUCACCAUCAUCAUCACCAUCACCAUCAUCUUCAUCAUCAGCAUCAUCAUCAUCAUCACCAUCAUCAUCAUCACCAUCUUCAUCAUCAUCACCAUCACCUUCAUCAUCAUCACCAUCACCAUCAUCAUCUUCAUCAUCACCAUCACCAUCAUCAUCUUCAUCAUCAUCAUCACCAUCAUCAUCUCACCAUCACCAUCAUCACCAUCAUCUUCAUCACCAUCAUCACCAUCAUCACCAUCAUCACCAUCAUCAACAUCAUCAUCAUCACCAUCAUCAUCAUCAUCAUCACUGUUAUAACAACUACUAUACACCAGGCAUUAUUAUGGAUUAUCAUCACCUAUCUUCAUAAUAACAUCAUUACUCCUAUUUUACCAUGAAGGACACCAAGGUGCCUGUCCAAGGGUGGGAGCCCAGGAAUGGCUCACCCCACAAGCCUAACUUGACCUUCUGUCCUGUGCUCUCUCCAGGACCAUCUCAAAGCCAGGCAACAUAUGGCAAGUGUUGUAAGCAUGAUACCCCAAGGUGGUUUAAUGAAUACCCCGGAGAAAGAACUCACAUUUAUUGUGUUGGCCUAUUACUUGGGGAUAGUAGAAGA